GUGGGUGUAGCUCAGUGGUAGAGCACCGGAUUGUGGCUCCGGGUGUCGUGGGUUCAAAACCCAUCAUCCACCAACCA
This 77-nucleotide transfer RNA is filed under the name Candidatus Portiera aleyrodidarum (primary endosymbiont of Bemisia tabaci). RNAcentral's name for it is "tRNA-His". It matches the Rfam family "tRNA". Rfam says of the family: Transfer RNA (tRNA) molecules are approximately 80 nucleotides in length. Lineage: Bacteria; Pseudomonadati; Pseudomonadota; Gammaproteobacteria; Johnevansiales (SeqCode); Johnevansiaceae (SeqCode). The record is from RNAcentral.